CUGCGUAAGCCCACGCCGGUCGAAGAUACCAGGCCGCUGCGACUGUUUAUUAAAAACACAGCACUCUGCAAACACGAAAGUGGACGUAUAGGGUGUGACGCCUGCCCGGUGCCGGAAGGUUAAUUGAUGGGGUUAGCUAACGCGAAGCUCUUGAUCGAAGCCCCGGUAAACGGCGGCCGUAACUAUAACGGUCCUAAGGUAGCGAAAUUCCUUGUCGGGUAAGUUCCGACCUGCACGAAUGGCGUAACGAUGGCGGCGCUGUCUCCACCCGAGACUCAGUGAAAUUGAAAUCGCUGUGAAGAUGCAGUGUAUCCGCGGCUAGACGGAAAGACCCCGUGAACCUUUACUAUAGCUUUGCACUGGACUUUGAAUUUGCUUGUGUAGGAUAGGUGGGAGGCUUUGAAGCGUGGACGCCAGUUCGCGUGGAGCCAUCCUUGAAAUACCACCCUGGCAACUUUGAGGUUCUAACUCAGGUCCGUUAUCCGGAUCGAGGACAGUGUAUGGUGGGUAGUUUGACUGGGGCGGUCUCCUCCUAAAGAGUAACGGAGGAGUACGAAGGUGCGCUCAGACCGGUCGGAAAUCGGUCGUAGAGUAUAAAGGCAAAAGCGCGCUUGACUGCGAGACAGACACGUCGAGCAGGUACGAAAGUAGGUCUUAGUGAUCCGGUGGUUCUGUAUGGAAGGGCCAUCGCUCAACGGAUAAAAGGUACUCCGGGGAUAACAGGCUGAUACCGCCCAAGAGUUCAUAUCGACGGCGGUGUUUGGCACCUCGAUGUCGGCUCAUCACAUCCUGGGGCUGAAGCCGGUCCCAAGGGUAUGGCUGUUCGCCAUUUAAAGUGGUACGCGAGCUGGGUUUAGAACGUCGUGAGACAGUUCGGUCCCUAUCUGCCGUGGACGUUUGAGAUUUGAGAGGGGCUGCUCCUAGUACGAGAGGACCGGAGUGGACGAACCUCUGGUGUUCCGGUUGUCACGCCAGUGGCAUUGCCGGGUAGCUAUGUUCGGAAUAGAUAACCGCUGAAAGCAUCUAAGCGGGAAACUAGCCUCAAGAUGAGAUCUCACUGGGACCUUGAGUCCCCUGAAGGGCCGUCGAAGACUACGACGUUGAUAGGUUGGGUGUGUAAGCGCUGUGAGGCGUUGAGCUAACCAAUACUAAUUGCCCGUGAGGCUUGACCAU
RNAcentral lists this ribosomal RNA (1173 nucleotides) under Pseudomonas frederiksbergensis. Its description in RNAcentral is "partial 23S ribosomal RNA". It matches the Rfam family "Bacterial large subunit ribosomal RNA", at positions 1758 to 2925 of the family's 2925-position model. Lineage: Bacteria; Pseudomonadati; Pseudomonadota; Gammaproteobacteria; Pseudomonadales; Pseudomonadaceae. RNAcentral also lists the same sequence under 2 other names. The record is from RNAcentral.